RNAcentral lists this ribosomal RNA (311 nucleotides) under Escherichia coli. Its description in RNAcentral is "bacterial SSU rRNA". It matches the Rfam family "Bacterial small subunit ribosomal RNA", at positions 1 to 306 of the family's 1533-position model. The record is from RNAcentral. Lineage: Bacteria; Pseudomonadati; Pseudomonadota; Gammaproteobacteria; Enterobacterales; Enterobacteriaceae.
UUAAAUUGAAGAGUUUGAUCAUGGCUCAGAUUGAACGCUGGCGGCAGGCCUAACACAUGCAAGUCGAACGGUAACAGGAAGCAGCUUGCUGCUUUGCUGACGAGUGGCGGACGGGUGAGUAAUGUCUGGGAAACUGCCUGAUGGAGGGGGAUAACUACUGGAAACGGUAGCUAAUACCGCAUAACGUCGCAAGACCAAAGAGGGGGACCUUCGGGCCUCUUGCCAUCGGAUGUGCCCAGAUGGGAUUAGCUAGUAGGUGGGGUAACGGCUCACCUAGGCGACGAUCCCUAGCUGGUCUGAGAGGAUGACCA